AUGGCUCAUUAUAUAAGUUAUCGUUUAUUUGAUAGUACCUUGCUACUUGGAUAACCGUGGUAAUUCUAGAGCUAAUACAUGCUAAAAAUCCCGACUUCGGAAGGGAUGUAUUUAUUAGAUUAAAAGCCAAUGCCCUCUGGGCUCUCUGGUGAUUCAUGAUAACUUCUCGAAUCGCACGGCCUUGCGCCGGCGAUGGUUCAUUCAAAUUUCUUCCCUAUCAACUUUCGAUGUUUGGGUAGUGGCCAAACAUGGUUGCAACGGGUAACGGAGGGUUAGGGCUCGACCCCGGAGAAGGAGCCUGAGAAACGGCUACUACAUCCAAGGAAGGCAGCAGGCGCGCAAAUUACCCAAUCCCGACUCGGGGAGGUAGUGACAAUAAAUACUGAUACAGGGCCCUUUCGGGUCUUGUAAUUGGAAUGAGUACAAUUUAAAUCCCUUAACGAGGAACAAUUGGAGGGCAAGUCUGGUGCCAGCAGCCGCGGUAAUUCCAGCUCCAAUAGCGUAUAUUAAAGUUGUUGUGGUUAAAAAGCUCGUAGUUGAACCUUGGGCCUGGCGGGCUGGUCCGCCUCACCGCGUGCACUAGUCCCGCCGGGCCUUUCCCUCUGCGGAGCCCCAUGCCCUUCACUGGGCGUGGCGGGGAAGCAGGACGUUUACUUUGAAAAAAUUAGAGUGCUCCAGGCAGGCGUAUGCUCGAAUACAUUAGCAUGGAAUAAUGAAAUAGGACGCGCGGUUCUAUUUUGUUGGUUUCUGGGACCGCCGUAAUGAUUAAUAGGGACAGUCGGGGGCAUCAGUAUUCAAUUGUCAGAGGUGAAAUUCUUGGAUUUAUUGAAGACUAACAACUGCGAAAGCAUCUGCCAAGGAUGUUUUCAUUAAUCAGGAACGAAAGUUAGGGGAUCGAAGACGAUCAGAUACCGUCGUAGUCUUAACCAUAAACUAUGCCGACUAGGGAUCGGACGAUGUUAUUCAUUGACUCGUUCGGCACCUUACGAGAAA
This 993-nucleotide ribosomal RNA is filed under the name Hypocrella raciborskii. RNAcentral describes it as "SSU rRNA". It matches the Rfam family "Eukaryotic small subunit ribosomal RNA", at positions 93 to 1097 of the family's 1831-position model. Lineage: Eukaryota; Fungi; Ascomycota; Sordariomycetes; Hypocreales; Clavicipitaceae. The record is from RNAcentral.